RNAcentral lists this ribosomal RNA (497 nucleotides) under uncultured bacterium. RNAcentral describes it as "partial 16S ribosomal RNA". It matches the Rfam family "Bacterial small subunit ribosomal RNA", at positions 28 to 523 of the family's 1533-position model. The record is from RNAcentral.
GAUGAACGCUGGCGGCGUGCUUAACACAUGCAAGUCGAACGAAGCACUCUAUUUGAUUUUCUUCGGAAAUGAAGAUUUUGUGACUGAGUGGCGGACGGGUGAGUAACGCGUGGGUAACCUGCCUCAUACAGGGGGAUAACAGUUGGAAACGACUGCUAAUACCGCAUAAGCGCACAGUAUUGCAUGAUACAGUGUGAAAAACUCCGGUGGUAUGAGAUGGACCCGCGUCUGAUUAGCUAGUUGGUGGGGCAACGGCCUACCAAGGCGACGAUCAGUAGCCGACCUGAGAGGGGGACCGGCCACAUUGGGACUGAGACGCGGCCCAAACUCCUACGGGAGGCAGCAGUGGGGAAUAUUGCACAAUGGGGGAAACCCUGAUGCAGCGACGCCGCGUGAACGAAGAAGUAUUUCGGUAUGUAAAGUUCUAUCAGCAGGGAAGAUAAUGACGGUACCUGACUAAGAAGCACCGGCUAAAUACGUGCCAGCAGCCGCCGUAA